CAGAUGGACCCGCGGCGCAUUAGCUAGUUGGUGAGGUAACGGCUCACCAAGGCGACGAUGCGUAGCCGACCUGAGAGGGUGAUCGGCCACACUGGGACUGAGACACGGCCCAGACUCCUACGGGAGGCAGCAGUAGGGAAUCUUCCGCAAUGGACGAAAGUCUGACGGAGCAACGCCGCGUGAGUGAUGAAGGUUUUCGGAUCGUAAAGCUCUGUUGUUAGGGAAGAACAAGUGCAAGAGUAACUGCUUGCACCUUGACGGUACCUAACCAGAAAGCCACGGCUAACUACGUGCCAGCAGCCGCGGUAAUACGUAGGUGGCAAGCGUUGUCCGGAAUUAUUGGGCGUAAAGGGCUCGCAGGCGGUUUCUUAAGUCUGAUGUGAAAGCCCCCGGCUCAACCGGGGAGGGUCAUUGGAAACUGGGAAACUUGAGUGCAGAAGAGGAGAGUGGAAUUCCACGUGUAGCGGUGAAAUGCGUAGAGAUGUGGAGGAACACCAGUGGCGAAGGCGACUCUCUGGUCUGUAACUGACGCUGAGGAGCGAAAGCGUGGGGAGCGAACAGGAUUAGAUACCCUGGUAGUCCACGCCGUAAACGAUGAGUGCUAAGUGUUAGGGGGUUUCCGCCCCUUAGUGCUGCAGCUAACGCAUUAAGCACUCCGCCUGGGGAGUACGGUCGCAAGACUGAAACUCAAAGGAAUUGACGGGGGCCCGCACAAGCGGUGGAGCAUGUGGUUUAAUUCGAAGCAACGCGAAGAACCUUACCAGGUCUUGACAUCCUCUGACAACCCUAGAGAUAGGGCUUUCCCUUCGGGGACAGAGUGACAGGUGGUGCAUGGUUGUCGUCAGCUCGUGUCGUGAGAUGUUGGGUUAAGUCCCGCAACGAGCGCAACCCUUGAUCUUAGUUGCCAGCAUUCAGUUGGGCACUCUAAGGUGACUGCCGGUGACAAACCGGAGGAAGGUGGGGAUGACGUCAAAUCAUCAUGCCCCUUAUGACCUGGGCUACACACGUGCUACAAUGGACAGAACAAAGGGCUGCGAGACCGCAAGGUUUAGCCAAUCCCACAAAUCUGUUCUCAGUUCGGAUCGCAGUCUGCAACUCGACUGCGUGAAGCUGGAAUCGCUAGUAAU
This 1127-nucleotide ribosomal RNA is filed under the name Bacillus sp. (in: firmicutes). RNAcentral describes it as "bacterial SSU rRNA". It matches the Rfam family "Bacterial small subunit ribosomal RNA", at positions 222 to 1342 of the family's 1533-position model. Lineage: Bacteria; Bacillati; Bacillota; Bacilli; Caryophanales; Bacillaceae. The record is from RNAcentral.